ACAAUCUACCCACCUCCAAACAAUCUCCAAAGUUCUGGGAUUACAGGUGUGAGCCACCUUACCCAGAGAGGCGAACCUGGAUUGGGAAAGUCGACAUUAAUCAACUCAUUAUUCCUCACAGAUUUGUAUUCUCCAGAGUAUCCAGGUCCUUCUCAUAGAAUUAAAAAGACUAUACACGUGGACAAUCCAAAGUUUUAAUCAAAGAAGGUGGUGUUCAGUUGCUGCUCACAAUAGUUGACACCCCAGGAUUUGGAGAUGUAGUGGAUAAUAGUAAUUGCUGGCAGCCUGUUAUCGACUACAUUGAUAGUAAAUCUGACUACCACCUAAAUGCAGAAUCACGAGUGAACCGACGUCAGAUGCCUGAUAGCAGGGUGCAGUGUUGUUUAUACUUCAUUGCUCCUCUAGGACAUGGACUUAAACCAUUGGAUAUUGAGUUUAAGAAGCGUUCGCAUGAAAAAGUGAUUAUCAUCCCACUUACUGCCAAAGCAGACACAAUUACACCAGAGGAAUGCCAACAGUUUAAAAAACAGAUGAUGAAAGAAAUCCAAGAACAUAAAAUUAAAAUACAUGAAUUUCCAGAAAUAGAUGAUGAAGAAGAAAAUAAACUUGCUAAAAAGGUAAAGGACCGUUUACCUCUUGCUGUGGUAGGUAGUAAUACUAUCAUUGAAGUUAAUGACAAAAGGGUCAGAGGAAGGCAGUAUCCUUGGGGUGUUGCUGAAGUUGAAAAUGGUGAACAUUGUUAUUUUACAAUUCUAAGAAAUAUGCUGAUAAAAACACAUGCAGGACUUGAAAGAUGUUACUAAUAAUGUCCACUAAGAACUACAGAAGCAGAAAACUGGCAGCUGUGACUUAUAAUGGAGUUGAUAACAACAAGAAUAAAGGGCAGCUGACUAAGAGCCCUCUGGCACAAAUGGAAGAAGAAAGAAGGGAGUAUGCAGCUAAAAUGAAGAAGAUAGAGAUGGAGAUGGAGCAGGUGUUUGAGAUGAAGGUCAAAUAAAAAGUUCAAAAGCUAAAGGACUCUGAAGCUGAGCUCCAGUGGCGCCAUGAGCUAAUGAAAAAGAAUUUGGAAGCACAGCACAAAGAAUUAGAGGGAAAACGUCGUCAGUUUGAGGAUGAGAAAGCAAACUGGGAAGCUCAACAAUGUAUUUUAGAACAGAACUCUUCGAGAACCUUGGAAAAGAACAAGAAGAAAGGGAAGAUCUUUUAAACUCUCUACUGACCACCAGUUACGUAUUAGUUGCCAAUAUGCCAGCUUGGACAUCAGUGUUUGUCGGAUCCGUUUGACCAAU
This is an RNA transcript of Nomascus leucogenys (northern white-cheeked gibbon), 1289 nucleotides long. It is a transcript of the gene named septin-7 pseudogene, with no coding region annotated. The record is from RefSeq and is a predicted model, not a curated record. Lineage: Eukaryota; Metazoa; Chordata; Mammalia; Primates; Hylobatidae. The transcript has a single exon.